This 253-nucleotide ribosomal RNA is filed under the name uncultured bacterium. RNAcentral describes it as "partial 16S ribosomal RNA". It matches the Rfam family "Bacterial small subunit ribosomal RNA", at positions 524 to 776 of the family's 1533-position model. The record is from RNAcentral.
UACGGGGGGAGCAAGCGUUGUUCGGAUUUACUGGGCGUAAAGGGCGCGUAGGCGGCGUGUCAAGUCAGGCGUGAAAGCCCCGGGCUCAACCUGGGAACCGCGCUUGAGACUGGCAUGCUCGAGUUCGGGAGAGGAUGGUGGAAUUCCCAGUGUAGCGGUGAAAUGCGUAGAUAUUGGGAGGAACACCAGUGGCGAAGGCGGCUACCUGGACCGGUUCUGACGCUGAGGCGCGAAAGCGUGGGGAGCAAACAGG